AGGAUGAUAUGAAGCUUCAAAUUGAGAGUAUGAAGGUCAAACUGCGACAUAUAUUCUACAGUUGUGGCUAUGGACAACUUUUGGCCAGUCCGGUGUAUUCUACAAUUGAGGCAAUGGAGCACUUUUGACCAGUCUAGUGUAUUCUACUGUUGUGGCACUGGAGUAGUCAUUAUCCACAAAACCAGGUAUGUUGUUGUUACCAUGUAUCUAUGUGAACAUAAAUCGUGAGCACUGGAUAAUAGUAUUUAUGAUAUAUAUAUACAAUGUAUAUUUUUUCCAGUCUAUGCUAUGACAUUGUGAGCCGCAUCUAUUUUGUGCACAUUUUGCUUUGUACUUAAAAAAUCCCCCCUCCCUCUUUGCUGCUUGUCAUGCUCAGACACCGGCAGAUAGGACAAAUAAACCAUACACAAUACAUGUACAUAUGAGCUGAAAUACACUGGGCAUCCUAAAGCCAACAUGGAAAAAUAAUGAAACAACCUGAAAGAACGAAUGCAACAAAUGCAAAAGCAUAUAAUAAUGAAGGUCAGAAGGUCUAUGAAAAUUACCUAGCUGUUUUUUGUGGACAAGAAUCAGUUAUUUCUAGUUUCCUAAUUCUGGAGCUAUGUGUGAACAAGGCCAGAAGACUAAAAUAUCAAAAGCUAGCUAAGGACUCAUUAGCAGAUUUUUCUUGUGCUUGCUAUACGUCUCAACCGAACAAUAGGCAAAGGGCGUACUUAUGAACAGACAUAAGCAGACACCAUAUCAAUAGCUAACAGCAUCACACAACAACCCAAUCACACAUCAAGAUGGAUUGAUGGAAAUGGAAAGAUAAAGUAUGCUCUUGCAGUAGAACCAAGUGUAAUAAUGAUUAUAAGCACAUAUAUGUACAUUUGAAAAAAUAGAAGAUUAAGAAAGGGGAACAUGCAUAAAAAAACUUUCGAAAAGUAGUAGUAAUUUCACCUCUGCAAUAGAGAAAGUACAAUUAGUUGGCUUUUCCUAUUGAUGGCUAAUUGCCUGAAUAAAAAAUGAGCAGUAGGUAUAAUGAUGGUGUUAUUUUCUUGCGCAAGCACCAAAACUUCGCCGAGAAGGUAAAAUAUAUUGGGAGCAUUGUACCUUCAUUUUCCCUAUAAUCCUUGCCCUUGCUUCUAGACUAUAUGAUGGCAAUGCGAGCUAGCCAGCGUCUUCAUAUUAGUCCGUCCAAAAAGCACACCAAAAUUAACAGUUGGAUUGAUUGUAUUAUCUCUGAAAUGCCAUUAUCAAAAAUUUAGUUGACGCUUAAUAGUAAAUAGAAGUGCAGGGCUUGCUUAUCACACUUACUUAGGACUCAUGGGCCUUAUCUAAUUCCUCUCCAAAGCAAACCAUCUCUCUAUGCGAAAUAGGCAAUAGAUAUAAGCAAAAAAUGCUAUAUAGCAAAGAGUAUAUGACAAUCUAAACUGAAGUGCUGCUCACAAGAAACCGAAUAUGAUAACAUGUUAUUGCUCACUCUAAUAAUAUAUAAGGUGUUGGAAAGGAGGGGGUCUAUUUUAUUUAUACAGUUUAGUUUAGUGAUUGGUAAAAAAUAAGGGCAAGUCCAAACCAGACAUGCACGAGAGCCUCAAAUACGUCGAGUCACUUUGAUUAGAUAAUAAUGAGAAGAAAUGAAAAAUAGUGGCAAAUUCAGCAAAAGGGAAAACAAGUUUUGCAUCUACACAACAAUGAAGCAAGGUAAUGAGCUAAAUUAGUGGACCUAGCACAUAUCUGAUUCACUCUACACUUUACGCUUACAUAGCAUCAUAGUAAUCUCCACUCAUAGGAAACCAAACAAAUUGAAGAUUAAGAUUUGCAUAUGGUAAAUGAAGGAAUAAAGCCAUACGUGCAAGAGAAAUUCGUCGCAUCGUGUUGCAAAACCAGAAAAGUAAAACCAAACCCCCUCUCCCAGAGCCUCUUCCCUAUGAUAUUCUUAGACACCAUGGGAAUGAUGGGGUCAAAAGUUUGGAGCUAGCCUGGAGAGGGACACCAUGGCACAUUGAAAAGGAGAGGCUCUUUGUACAGCAAAACAGCUCAGUGCGCUCGGCAGGCAAGGUUGCGGAAGGAAGAGGAGUACAAAAUCAUGGCAUGUGCUCUACUACACAGAAAAAUCCAAAAAUGCAGGAACAGGCGUGACUGUGUUCAAGAGAGACAUAAUUCACCUUGGUCUUCUUGAUCAAAUUCUUCCUCAAAAUUCUUCUUAUAGUCUCGACAGGUAACUAAAAGUUGAGGAAUCAAAAUAAGAUUAUAAGAGAACCAGAGAAUCAAGUAGUACAAAUCGAGAGAAAAAAGAUGUGGACGUAGGUGGGUAGUCUAGAUUGGAAAGGAGUGGGAAGUGAAGGGGAGGAGGGGAGAAGCAAAGGUGGGAGGAGUGUUAUGCCUUCUACCUAUCAACGCGUGGCUGCAGAGGGUCGGUCGCCUACGCCCGACGCCCGCGUUGCCGUGGCCCUGUCCAGAUCGCAGAUCGAUCGAAGAAACCCGGGUGGCCGCCAUCUUCCCAACCCACGAGGCCCCCAAGCCUCUCCUGCCUGGAAGCGCUGCCAGUCUGGUCGAUGCCCCACAGGCCGCUGCAAAGAGAGCCAAUAGGGUUGUAAAUGAUGCCAGUGAAGUCUUAGUGCUACCAAGGGCUGCAAGCUAAUCGAACACAAGCUUAAACAAGAAAGACACUUGAAGAUUUAUACCCUGGUGUUCAUUAUAAACAGAAAAGGUUAGGUGACAACGCUCAAACCUUCAGGUUACAAUUUUCAUGUUUUCAAUUCAUUAUUAGCACAUAUCAUAACUACAAUUGCAGUAAUCUUUCCUUUGAUUUAAGAAUGAUGGUAGCUGACUAUUUGAGACCUUGUAGAGCAAUCAAACAAGAACAUAUUGCCUAUUUAAAAAGAAAUACACAUCCAACAAAUAAGAUGUCUGAAUCUAUCACAUUACCUAGCCAUCUCCAAACCAUCAUUCUCCUCAGGUUGGGAUCCUAUCGAACCAACCAAAUCAAUCAGCCUCCAUAAGUGGCCACUUCCACAAGCCCAGAAGAGCAAGAAAUAUUCCACAAUCAUGAGAUCACCAUAAUCAUUCAAUCAGACAACAUAAACAAGAGAGAGAGAUGGGGAUGGGUGGAACGCAACUUACAUGUCAGGGUGGAAGACAUGGCGUGCACUCGUGGUGGCGAGGAGGAGCUUUAGUAGGAGACCUGGAUGACGGUUGCCCAGGGUUCCCCAAGAAAGAUCGCCGCAGAAGGUACCCCUCCUUGCCACACCGUCUAGCAGUGAACACCAUGGAGGUCACAUGUUCCUCGAGAUCCCGCUGGCAACGAGCGCCAUCUUCUGAAUUUAAUCAAGGGAAAAUGCUGCAUCGAGAGAAAAAUAGUAAAUAAUCACAUCCUGAAGAAAAUCGAAUCAAGGAAGAGUGUGCUUGUCACAAAUGACUAAUAAAGAGAAAUAUAUUUCACCUAUGGCUUUAACCAUCGAUCUGGCCAUGGCGAUGCUGUCCAUGGAGAGAAGCACAUAGAAAGAGGGAUGAGAUGAUAGGGGCAUCGCUAUAGCCACCGCAAGAUCCUUGGUUUCCCCGAGGUCUACUAUGCCUUCCCUAGGGAGAAAGAGACCCAGCCAACAACUUGCAGCAAGAUUAGCACCUGCAAAUAAAAAUUGGAUGACCCUAUAAACCGCCUAGUCAAACCACAAAGGAGAAAAAUGGAAAAGAGAAAUCAGGGGGAAAGCAGAGCAAUGGGGAGGAGAGAGGGCAACACGAGACGUGGGGAUGCAGCCCGAAUGAGAGGAUGGCAUCUAGGGUUUUUACCUCCUGCUCUUAUCCCCUGGCCAGCCAGGGCUUUCAACAAGCUGCUUCCCACAACGCACACAACAUCUUCCCCAUUGUUGCUCCUUCCCCCCACCUCCGUUCCUCACCUCAACUGCACAGGCUGCAAACCGUCCUCCGCAACAUGGAGUGAUGCCCAACGAGGAGAGCGGCAGAGGCCGGUAUGGAAGGGGAAGAGGAGGGGUUCGUGGCAGGGGCGGGGAUGGAGGAAGGAAAGGGCGGCGGCGCGAUCUUCCCCGCGGCCGGCUGCACCCCAUUGCUACCGGAGCGCAGUCCCCGCCGCUCUUCUCUGGCACGGAUCCACCGCCCAUGUGCGCCUCCUUUGGUGGCGACGCCGAGAGAAAAGUGAAGGAGAGGAGGCGGCAGAGGGGAGAGGGGCUCGUGGGGCGAGGUGCGGAGGAAGCGGGGAGGCGGCUGCAGGAUUGGCUCGUGGGAUAGGGUUGCUUUUACCCAGAUCGCGAUUGGCGAGCACGCGAUGAAGACUCCGCGUACCAAAAGAUGAAGGAAACUUAGGUUGACUCCGUGGCCCCACGUCUAUUGAGCCCCACCUGCCAUCCUCUCCAGAAUCAGGAACGAAAGUGGAAAAAAACGGACGGCUGACCAGCCGCCAGUAGCCAAAAAACGAUCGUAGGAGAUCGAUCGGGUGGUCAAAACCGACGCGCGCUAGCGAUGCCCCCGGAUGGACGGGUACUCUAGGAGGAUUUAUAUGUUAGAUUUGGACAGGCAAGCCGCCCUUCAUCCUGAGCGUCACCGAAAGCACGUGCUCCGGCACGCCGCCGCUGCCAGCGUUCUUGCGGACGACGUCGACCGCGAAUUCUUCGAGCACACUCGCAGCGAUGGACUUCAUCUGCACGUAGGCCAUCUCCUUCCCGAGGCACGUCCUCGGCCCGGCAUGGAACACCGUGUACCGGAACGGGCUCUCAGGCCGGAACGCGCCAUCGUCGCCGAGCCACCGCUCCGGCUUGAACUCGGCGCAGUCCUUGCCCCAUAUGACCGCGAGCCGCCCCAUGGCGUACGCGCUGUACGUGAUGUUCCAGCCGGCCCCAAUGUGGGUGCCGUCGGGGAGCGUGUCGUCCGCCGCGCUCGACUGGGAGUCGAUAGGCACCGGCGGGUAGAGCCGCAUCGACUCGGUGAGCGCGGCGUGCAGGUACCGCAUGUCCCGGAGCGCGUCGAACGUGAACGGGUCGCCGGGGCGAGUGCCUGCCAUGGACCGGACCGAGCGGACCUCGUCGGCGAUGCGCGCCACGACGUCCGGCCGGGAGGACACGAGCCAGAAGAACCACGUGAGCGCCGAGGACGAGGUCUCGCGGCCGGCGAUCAGGAAACUGAGGACGAUGUCCCGGAGCGCCUCGUCGCCGUGCUCGUCGCUCGCCACGAACCUUGACAGGACGUCGUCUCUGUUUUCUUCCCCAGACGCACUUUGACGGCGGGAGCGGACGAUUUCCAUGGCGAACCCAUGGACGUCGGCGAUGGCCUUCUUCAGGCGGCGCUCUUUGCCGACGUUGAGCCAUUUCUUGACCUUCCAGGAGGCCGCGACGGGGUCGAGGAACCGGCUGACGAUGAGGUCCUGCGCCUCGCCGAACGCGCGCAUGAAGUCCGACUUCCCCUCCGUCAGGGCCCCGCCGUCGGCGAGGCAGCAUGGGUCGUGCCCGAACGAGACCAUGCAGAUGGUGUCGAACGCGAACCGCUCCAGCACGUCCUGCAUGUCGAGCACCACGCCGCCGGCCGCGGCGCGUCGCAGCAGCGGGAGCAGCCUGUUCCCGACCUCGGCCUGCACGGAGUCGAUGAGGAAACCGCGGAGCGAGCGCGUGGUGAACUCGAGGCUGGCGUUCUUGCGCUGCCACAGCCACUGCUCCCCGUCGGAGUUGAAGAGGCCGUGGCCGAGGAAGUCGACCAGCAUGGAGAUGGCGCGCUCGCCCUUGGGGUAGUUGGCGAAGUUGGUGCGGAGGAUGUGCUCGACGUCGGCCGGGUUGCUGGUGACGAUGCCGGUGGUCAUCCCGGGGAUCCAGAAGCCCAUCCUGAGGUCAGGGCUGGCGACGAUGAGCUCGGUGGACCACUCGAGGAAGCGGUCCCGGUUCUUGAGGAACGCCGGGAGGUGGCCGAGCAGCGGGUGCCUCCUGAGGCCGUGGGUGGUGGGCUUCUUCUUGGCGAGGCUCCUCGCGAUGUGGUAGGAGAUGUACAGCACGGGAGGAAGCAGGAUGAGUAACAGGGAAGAAGAAGAGGGGAACUCCAUUGAUUCUGACUUUGAUCUUGGCUUUGCUGUUGAACUGUGAAUAUUUUGAUGGACUGUCCUCUUGGUUUAUAUAUACGCGCCUUGCAGGCAGAUUCAAGUUGCACUGUCCAACCCAUACUCUAUACGUGAAGAGUUCUUUCGCUUUUAAAUAUGGUUCCAAAGAUGAGUCUGGCCAUGCCCCAUCAUCACACAUGGCAAGUUGUGAUGUGCUUGUCGUCCAAGUCAGGACCUUGCGAUGGAGGCAAAUGAGGUCAACUGUGACUCCGGAUUAGAAUAACAAAUGUGUCCUGUGUAAAUGAACGGAUGGGCUAGUUCAUAGUGGUGCUGUUUUUAAUUGCGCACCCUCACUUUCAGCAGCUCCUCCUGUGUCCUGCCCUGCUUCUUCCCCACGAAGAGCUGUUGCCUUUGUUGAGUUUCCUCACGGGUCGCCGCUGCCAAGGCUAUGAUGUUUCUUUGUAUGUUAAUCAUUUUAGCUACUUUGUAAUUCGCCUGAAAAUAAUAUUUGGAUCACUCUUUUUUGCUUAGGGUGGCAGCCGGCCCCAUUAUCUAUCUUNNNNNNNNNNNNNNNNNNNNNNNNNNNNNNNNNNNNNNNNNNNNNNNNNNNNNNNNNNNNNNNNNNNNNNNNNNNNNNNNNNNNNNNNNNNNNNNNNNNNNNNNNNNNNNNNNNNNNNNNNNNNNNNNNNNNNNNNNNNNNNNNNNNNNNNNNNNNNNNNNNNNNNNNNNNNNNNNNNNNNNNNNNNNNNNNNNNNNNNNNNNNNNNNNNNNNNNNNNNNNNNNNNNNNNNNNNNNNNNNNNNNNNNNNNNNNNNGGGGGUUUGUCAGAGAAAACUGAUCAUCGUCGAGGUUAGAGGAUGGGUGGCGAGGCUAGCGCGGGAGCGCCGCCGGCCGCUAGCGAUGGUGGCUGGGAGUUCGUGGGGCGAUUGGGAAGGAGAUGGACAUAAGGGUUGGAUGUUGAAGAAACUUAUCUGACCAUCCAUCUUGCAUCCAACGGCUCAUAACGAAUUGACUGGCCUAAAUUGGGUUUUCAGUCACCUGACACCUAGUCAGUCCAUAUGUUAAUAAGGCUAACGCUCAAUAAUUGAAAAUAAAAGUUAUUUAAAAUGAUAAUGUUUGUGUCUCUAUCUGAGAAGGGGAAUGCUUAGCGUCGGGCAACCAAUGCAAAUGUUAGAUAGGUCACCCUGUGGGCCAUCAAAUCGCUCAUUUUGGUUGUUGGAUCAUUAACCCACUCGCACAAUACACACACAAGAGGGAGGGACGGAGGGAGAGAACAUCCCAUGUGUUCAUAUCUCGUUCGGCACAACCCCCUCCUUCCCUGCCGGCUCGCCGCACAGGCACAUCAAAACUUCUUUCGCCACACUCCACCGUGUCCUUGUUGCAGCUUGGUUCGGAGCAUGGUUGUCGCCAACUACCCUUUGGAGGCUCGUCACAACUCGAGAUGUGCUGUUUCGAGCACGGGCGGUCGUGUCUUAGCAUUGUCGUCGCCGAUCGCCGAUGCAGCACCGUGUUCGCCACUUUUAUAGCCCGCAUUGUUGUAGGCCUAGAGCUUGCAACACCGCACUUCGGUCCAAGAUCCGGGUGGUUGCACCAUGCCACAAUACCGAUCCCAGGAUCAUCGUGCGUCAUUCUCAACAAAUCACCCCUGACGUCGCAGUAGAACGCCUUUCCGGCUCCAGCAACUUGCCUCGCCCGGUCACAACAUGUGGCCUCGCCGUUCCCAGCUUUGGGUGUGAGCGAGUGCAACACCCUGCAGCGUCGAUCCCAGCAUCACUGCGCGUUGUCCCCAACAAAUCUCCCCCAUUGGUUGCUGCAAAACGCCUCAUCGGUCCCAGCAAAUUGCGCCACUGUCUACGGCAGAAAACCUCGCAUGUCCUAACUCUGGUGCGGGCAGUUGCACCACCCUGCAGCACUGAUCCCAUCAUUGCCACACAUGGUCCCAACAAAUCGCCCCAGCAGGUUGAAGUAGAACGCCUCAUUGGUCCUAGCAAAUCACUCGACCAGUCGCAGCAAAAUGCCCUGUCGGUCGCAACAUCGGGUCGUCGUCUCCAACGCUAGGAUGGUCCUUGUAGCAGUGUUGUCGAUCUGGCUUACAUCGGUUCUGCUCGCAGCACGGCGAUCGCCCUCCCUCGCAAUGUAGUUGAUCCGGCUUAAGUCGGUUCAGCUUGCAGCCCAACGGACGCCCUCCCUCGCAACGCCGUCGAUCUAGCUUAAGUCGGUUUGGCUUGCAGCACGACAGCCGCCUCCCUCAUAGUGAUGAUAACCCUCUUUGCAGCAUCGCCGACGACCCCACCCGCACCUCAUCCCGCGUGGCUGUGACACUAGCGCACGUUCAUGUGCAUGCACUGGUUGGCGUUCACGUAGGUUGCUCUGCGUGGAGGGACGGAAUGCUGGAACGGGAGGGCAUGAGUGAAACCGAGGAAGAGGAUCUUUGGCCGUGCGUGACUAGAUCAAGGAGGUGCCAUCGGCAGUGGUGCGUGAGCUGCAUGAAUACGACAGUGGGGAAUUUAAUCGUUGUGUGUGGGAUUGAUCUCAUCGAAGAAGGAAAAAGGGGAUGAGGAGUUGAGAAAGCGGUGGCAGGGACCAUGAGGCGGGUGCGUACACGCAUGAGAGCACUCGUACAUCGAGGUGCUAUACAAAUGGUUUUUAACCCCUUACCGCGACGGCGUUUCGAACUGUCGCCAAGUGAGUGACUGUGAUAGGGGGUUCCUUCCCACACGACCCAGAAACUGUCGGGGAUAGGCCCUCCUGGCACACACGCUUGGCAAAAUGAGGUCGUGUGUGUCGGACGAGUGAUCAAAUACGGUUAUACGUACAAUUAUGCUAAAAAAAUACAAUUAUACAGGCCAAAUCAUUUUCGGUCGUAAGUACAUCCGUUAUUGAAUGCAUCACACACGGUGUGUAGAAGAAACUAUAUGGGAAAGGUUGUCCAUCGCACACAGUUUUUAUGUGGUAAACGUUUGCGCCAGGUGACCUAACGCAAACAGUUUUCAAGAGGAUGACGUGUGUGAUUGUUCAUAAAUCCAACAUGGUUUAUUCCUAGAAAUUGCGUGCGUUCCCGAGGUCAUCGCCCAUGGUGUUUUCUCAAUAAUCGUUUGCAAUAGAAAAACCCAAUUAGCAUGCUAAUUGGCCAUUUGCAGGCUAAUUGUAAUAUUAUUAAUAAUCCAUUUAUUAAUUUAAUUGAAAUUUUGUAUUAAGCACACAAUAUAUUUCAUUUUCAUAUUAAGGAAGCAGGAUUUCAUAAUUGAAAUACAUUAGAGUACAACAUCAUAUAGCUUCAGCACUUAGCUACCCUAUUACACAACUGUACCAGCACCAUGUUUCACAUGCAACAUCUAUAACCUUUCAAAAUUAGCAUCAUAGACGGUACAUAGACAGAUGAAUCUCAUCUGGAAAACUGCUAAAGCGAAAGGCGAAUAUUGAGCCUUCAUUGAUGUUGAAGGUCUUUGCAACUUUAUGCCGGUGCAUGUGGAUGAUUGACCGUCCAUCCUUCGUCUUCUUCAGAAACACUUCAAUAUUGAACUGUGGGUGUUUUAUGAAUACCUUCCCAUACAGGUUGAGAGGUAAUCAUCAGUGAACUGCUUUGGAAAGGCCUGAAAACAAGGAUGUGCAUAAAUAUCUUCUCUAUAUUGGAAAUGGGACAAAGGAAUAAAAAAGGCAAGGUAUAAUAGUUAGUACCAUAGUGUAGUGAAUUGAUGUCUUGUUCAUUGUGCAGACAAAGAUCUUAUUGUUUUCAUCGCUAAU
RNAcentral lists this long non-coding RNA (9759 nucleotides) under Triticum aestivum (bread wheat). Its description in RNAcentral is "long non-coding RNA (TAES_LNC007087)". The record is from RNAcentral. Lineage: Eukaryota; Viridiplantae; Streptophyta; Magnoliopsida; Poales; Poaceae.